ACGGCCGCAUCACACCAAAACAUUGGUUCCCAUACGAUCACCGAAGUUAAGUAUCGUCGAGUUUAGUAAGUAGAUAGGUGACUGCUUAGGAAUACCAGGUGAUGUAAG
Acanthosepion pharaonis is the source of this 108-nucleotide non-coding RNA. Lineage: Eukaryota; Metazoa; Mollusca; Cephalopoda; Sepiida; Sepiidae. The record is from the annotation of a GenBank genome assembly.